GGGGUGGUGGAGCAAUGGUAACGUCUCUGACUGAUAAUCGGUCGACCUGGAUUCAAUUCCCAGCAUUGCG
This 70-nucleotide transfer RNA is filed under the name Alosa alosa (allis shad). RNAcentral describes it as "tRNA-OTHER". The record is from RNAcentral. Lineage: Eukaryota; Metazoa; Chordata; Actinopteri; Clupeiformes; Clupeidae.